CCUACGGGCGGCAGCAGUGGGGAAUUUUCCGCAAUGGGCGAAAGCCUGACGGAGCAAUACCGCGUGAGGGAGGAAGGCUCUUGGGUCGUAAACCUCUUUUCUGGGGGAAGAAGCAAUGACGGUACCCCAGGAAUCAGCAUCGGCUAACUCCGUGCCAGCAGCCGCGGUAAUACGGAGGAUGCAAGCGUUAUCCGGAAUGAUUGGGCGUAAAGCGUCCGCAGGUGGCAUUUCAAGUCUGCUGUCAAAGACCCCAGCUUAACUGGGGAGAGGCAGUG
This 275-nucleotide ribosomal RNA is filed under the name uncultured bacterium. RNAcentral describes it as "partial 16S ribosomal RNA". It matches the Rfam family "Bacterial small subunit ribosomal RNA", at positions 338 to 628 of the family's 1533-position model. The record is from RNAcentral.